Capsicum annuum is the source of this 977-nucleotide long non-coding RNA. RefSeq lists it as uncharacterized. The record is from RefSeq and is a predicted model, not a curated record. The transcript has 2 exons. NCBI's taxonomy places the organism in Eukaryota, Viridiplantae, Streptophyta, Magnoliopsida, Solanales, Solanaceae.
AACAUCGACCUUCAGCAAACAACCAGCCAAAAAUCGACCAAAAUCCAUCAACUUCGCGACUCGUCCAGUCAACCUUAACCCGAAAUUCGGCGAAAAACAGCUUCCGAACGUCGACCCGCCUAGAUGGCGUGUGUUUGUUACAAAAAUUCAAGAAAGUUUAUAGAAAUGGGUGAGCUGGCUCACCCUCGCGAAUCUCGGAUGAGGCUGUACGAUUUCGUACAAGGGUGGAAAAUUUUCAUUGGCUUGUGAAGAUGAUUCCAUUUUCUUAAAUUUCUAUUGGCCAUUUUUGGAAAUCCGUUCAUGAAAAUCAACAAGGGGGUACGAUUUGUUAGCAUUCUCAUCUUUUGAAUUCAAAAAAUGAACCCUCAAUCCCCCUUUCUAUAAAUAGCUCUCUCUGGAGCAAGAAAAGAGAGGAUGGUUUUCUUCUGGGUCACCGUUUUUAGGGUUUGAAAUUUUGGGUCUGGGAAUAGGGGGAUUUUCUCUUUUAGGCUCUUAGGUUGAAAAACUAGUGUUGGGAAAUUUUGAGGUCUGAUAAGGAAAGUAAAGGUUCUGAGGAUUUUUGGUUUGAAUUUUUUGGGUUCCAAAAGAGGUGGGAGAAAAUUUUGGGAUCAAAACAGUUCCCUUAGUGAAAACUUUCUUUUUCGUUCUUCUUUCUGAAAGUUGGUUGACUAAUCGGAGAUUAUCAAGUUGAUAACGCUGAUUUCCGGUGGUGGCGGAUUUCGACAGUUAGCUCUUAGUCCUAUUUGCUGCUCCAAAAAAGGUGAAGCGAGACUCGAGCCAAAAGGGGUUAAAAACUAGAUUAGGACAGGUGAAAUGGACGAAAGCCCAAUUUGGCUAGGACAGGUCUCAUUGAUUUGGGCCCACUGACCUAAAUCCCUUACUUUCUCCCCUUCCCCUUUUUCUUUACGCUUGUUUGCCUUAUGUGUUUUGUGAACCUAGUUAAAUUCUUAGUCAAGUCACUAAAAACUGGUUUUGCA